Molecule: ribosomal RNA, 253 nt
Filed under: uncultured bacterium
Lineage: Bacteria
Description: partial 16S ribosomal RNA
Rfam family: Bacterial small subunit ribosomal RNA
Source: RNAcentral
UACAGAGGUCCCAAGCGUUGUUCGGAUUCAUUGGGCGUAAAGGGUGCGUAGGCGGCGCGGUAAGUCGGGUGUGAAAGCCUUGAGCUCAACUCAAGAAUGGCACUCGAUACUUGGUGGCUAGAGGACCGGAGAGGAUAGUGGAAUUCCCAGUGUAGUGGUGAAAUACGUAGAGAUUGGGAAGAACACCAGUGGCGAAGGCGGCUAUCUGGACGGUUUCUGACGCUAAGACGCGAAAGCGUGGGGAGCAAACAGG